Microcebus murinus (gray mouse lemur) is the source of this 4994-nucleotide non-coding RNA. The record is from RefSeq and is a predicted model, not a curated record. NCBI's taxonomy places the organism in Eukaryota, Metazoa, Chordata, Mammalia, Primates, Cheirogaleidae.
CUGAUUUAUAAGGGGAGGUUAAGUAGAUUUUUUUUUUUUUUAGAAUAGUAAUCUGAUGACCUGUGUGUUGCAUAUUUGUUUACCAGUCUGAUAUUUGUCGUUUAAGUAUAUCGGGCCUUUUGCUAUAUAGAAAAGUUUCAUUUUUAAGUAGUCAUAUGUGUCGGUCUUUUCACUUAAGAUUUCUAAAUGCUGUAACAUGGUUGAAGGCCUUUCUCAUUCCCAAAUGAUACAAAUAUUAUUGUAUUUCUUUCUUUCAAACUUUUAUGGUUUUAAUUUUAUGUUCAAAUAUUUGAUUUUUCUGGAAUUUAUAUUUGUGCAAGAUGAAAAAUUGAAACCUAAAGUUUCUUUAAUUCAAAUGGAUAGUCUUUUGUCCAAAUAUCAUUUCUUAAGUAACCUUCUGUUUCCCCCAUUGUUUUGAAAUACUACCUUUACCAUUUACAGAAUUUUCAUAUAUAAAUGAAGUAACUUCUGGACUUUAAUUUCUGUUUUGUCAAUUUCUUUAUCUGCAUCUUGGUCAAUACUACAUUAUUUCAAUUACUGUAACUUUGUAAUAAUUUCGAAAUCUGGUAGGGUAAAGUUCUCCUCUUCCCAAUUAUUCUUUUUUUUUCCCAAAAAAAUUUCUUGGUUGUUUUUGCCUUAACUCUUCCAGAUAUACUUUAGAAUCAAUUUGUCAGAUAUCUUAAGUUCCUUUUGAAUUUUUUUGGUAUUAAUUGGCAUGACAGUUCUGGCUUCAAUGCUUCUCUUUCUAUUUUAACCACAGUCUCAAUUUUUCCUUUAGUGUCAAUCUGUUUCCUAACCUUAAUUUAUCUUUUUUUAGUGUUUCUUGCUUCACUGUUUUUUUUUUUUGGCAAGUUUUUUACCUUUGCUUCUAGAUAGUGUAGCAGAGAUGAUCUCAUCGUAAACAUUCAGCACCAUUAAGGUCAUUUUUAAAAAGUAGCAUCUGCGCGGCUUCUGCCGGAGCUGGUCCAGGUGUGGAGCCAGGCCCUGCCGGGGGCCCCGUGGGAGCUCCAGGAGCAAGGGGAGCAGGCCGGGCCCCGAACCGGUAAUCUCUACUUCCCCUAGCGUUUCCUUAGGUCACCCCCAGUUCCCGGCCCUGAAAUCACAAGCCUCAACUGCCCUGCUACUUCCCGGCCUGUUUUGCGUCACAAACUUGCUCCAGACCCUGAGGCAAACUGAAUCGUUGCAGGAGACUGUACCAACACACAGGUGUACCAGAGGUGACAGAACUCGAUCUGGGCGGGAAGGGGACAAAUCCGUGAAGGGUGACGCCAGGCAUUCCAGUAGUAAUUGAUAGAAAUCUUACAUGGGAUAGGAUUUAUUCCCUCCAUACUUCUGAACCAAUGAACAGAAAAUGGGAAGCAAAACUGAAGCAAAUUGAAGAACGAGCAUCUCAUUAUGAGAGGAAACCGUUGUCCUCAGUCUAUAGACCAAGAUUAUCCAAGCCAGAAGAACCACCCUCCAUUUGGAAACUAUUUCAUCGCCAAACUCAAGCUUUUAAUUUUGUUAGAAGCUGUAAAGAAGACGUUCAUGUAUUUGCCUUGGAAUGCAAAGUGGAAGAUGGACAACGUAUUUACCAUGUAACAACCUAUACUGAACUUUGGUUUUACUAUAAAUCCAGAAAAAAUCUCUUGCACUGCUAUGAAGUUAUUCCUGAAAAUGCUGUGUGCAAGCUUUACUUCGAUUUGGAAUUUAACAAACCUGCCAAUCCAGGAGCUGAUGGGAAAAAGAUGGUUGCAUUACUCAUUGAGCAUGUGUGUAAAGAGCUUCAAGAGUUAUAUAGUGUUAAUUGUUCAGCUGAAGAUGUUUUGAACUUGGAUUCCAGCACUGAUGAAAAAUUUAGCCGUCAUUUAAUAUUUCAGCUCCAUGAUGUGGCAUUUAAAGAUAACAUUCAUGUUGGUAAUUUUGUGAGAAAAAUUUUGCAACCUGCUCUUCACUUAACUGCCAACAAGGAUGACAGCAGCCUUCCAGAGACAGCAGGCCAAGGGUCUCCCCACUUUCCUGAAGCACCAAUAGAACAAGGAAUUUCCUUAACAAAAUGUCCACAGAUAAGGAUCGAGGAGAGAGCUGGACGUUGAAUUCAGAGAAACUGGGGAUGCGGGGGUCAACUGAGCAGAGCAGUGCUGAGCUUUCGUUUUUAGUUGUGAAAAACAACAUGGGAGAAAAGCAUCUUUUUGUGGAUCUAGGAGUUUAUACAAGAAAUAGAAAUUUUCGGCUCUACAAAUCAUCAAAAAUAGGAAAGUGUGUGGCUUUGGAGGCUGCUGAAGAUAACAGAUUUUUUCCUCUACAGUCAAAAUGUAUUUCUGAAGAGUAUCAGUAUUUUCUUUCUUCUCUGAUCAGCAAUGUCAGAUUCUCAGAUACUUUAACAGUUCUUACAUGUGACACACCUCAGAAUAAACAAAAGGGUGUUGAAUAUUUUAACAGUAACAACACUUCAGUAGAGACCAUGGAAGGUUUUCAGUGUUCACCCUAUCCUGAAGUUGAUCAUUUUGUUCUUUCUUUGGUGAAUAAAAAUGGCAUUAAAGGAGGAAUUCGGCGUUGGAACUACUUUUUCCCAGAAGAAUUAUUGGUUUAUGAUAUUUGUAAAUAUCGCUGGUGUGAAAACAUUGGAAGAGCCCACAAGAGUAAUAAUAUCAUGAUUCUGGUUGAUCUGAAAAAUGAAGUUUGGUAUAAAAAAUGUCAUGAUCCUGUAUGUAAAGCAGAAAACUUCAAAUCUGACUGUUUUCCACUACCUGCUGAAGUAUGUAUCCUGUUUCUUUUCAAAGAUGAAGAGGAGUUUCCAGCAGAUGAAGCAGAUGAAACUAGGAACAAUAAAACCAAGAAUCCUCAUAAACAGUCACCUAAUAAGUCAUCAACAGGUAUAUCUUCUGAUGUGGACUGGGAUAAUGGCAUUGAAGAUGCUUACUUUUUAGAAGCCACUGAAGAUGCUGAAUUAGUUGAAGCUGCAGAGAAUAGUCUUCUCAGUUACAAUGGUAUAGAUGAUGAAAUUCCUGAUGAACUAAUUAUAGAAGUAUUACAAGAGUAGCUAAUUAACUAUGGACACUUAAAUAACCAGGCUAUAAUUUGCCCAAAGUCUGUGAGAUUUGGUAACAUAUUAAAUUAUUAACUUAUUAUUAAACCUGUUUAUAUAAAAAAAAAACAAAACUAGCAUCUGAGAGCCAGACUUUUUCAGGGCCGUGUUCUUCCUUACAUGGAUCUAUGGUGUGUUCCUCUUUUGCUUGGGUCUGAGUUUGUGGCACAUUCUGUCAAUUACAUAGCUACUGUUGAGAUAAUUAUUGGAUUCUUAAACAGAUAAUAACCAUAUUUGGGGACUUUUGAUAGUAACCUCAAUCUUUAGCAAUUGAUAAGGUGUGCAUUUUAUGUUUAAAAAAAUCAGUUGCACAGUUAUAAGGUAGGGAAACUGUAUUUGGUAAUACCAGUUAGUUAUUCAGUAAUGUCUGAAACACAAAAUAAACAAAGGACCUGAUGUUUAAAUUGAUUUCAAACUCAGUGUAAGUUAUGAUUCUCCUUGAAAAAAUAACAAAUGUUGCAAUUUUUUAUAUUAAUUGCAUUACAGAUAGUUUGACAUCCAGGUUAGGAAAGAUAAUAACUCUAAUCUAUGCUGAUCAAAUAAUUUUUACAGUUUGUGCACCUGUUUUGUGCUAAGGACAAACUAGGUACUAGGAUACAAAGCUGAGAGACAUAGCCCACUUAUAAUAGAACUACAAGCAAAUAAUAACUGAGUUUAUGGGAAGCCAGAUGAGGGUUAUCAAGGACCUAGACCACAGAGGCUGGAGACAGCUUUUAAGGAGAAGAGGACACACACAGCAGAAACUUUGGUGGUAGAUCUGUGGGCUUCACUAGCUAUGGGACCUUGCACAAUUUAUUUAAGCUCAGUCUCAUUUUUCUUCAUGUGUAAAAUUGAGUUAGUAAUAAUCUAUUUCACACUGUUGUCCUAAGCUUAAUGAGAUUUUAUAUAUAUAUAUAUAUAUAUACAUACAUACAUAUCUGGAACAGACUCUGGCACAUAAUAAUCAUGUAGAAAAUGGUAUGGAAUACAUCCACUUUGAAAUGCUAAUAGUUGUUGGCUCAGCGAGAUGGGCCCUCCUAGCAGAAGGAAAGGUGUAGGCCAAAGCGGGUGGGUGCAAUGGGGGCUUUCUGAAAGUGCAGAGUGUUUAAUCUGCUUGGAGUGCAGAGUGCAUGUGGAGGGAGCAGCUGAAGAUGAAGCUGGGAAGGGAAGCAGUGGUGAGAUCUUCAAACCAGAGCCUUUGUACCAGAUUGAGGAGUCUGGGAGGCAUCUAGGAAGUAUUAUGGAGUCUUCGAAGAUCUUAAUUAGGGGAGUGUCCAGAACAGUUUUGUCAGUUGAAAGACUGGUUUGUUAUAGAUGUGUGGAGUGGCUGAGUAAGCUAUUGUAGGUAGGAUGUCCAGUGAAAGCAGUGGUGCUCGGCCCUGGCUGCACCUUGGAACUGUCUGGAAAACUUUUAGCCCAAGUUCACCACAAAUCCAGAUAUAUCAUCAGCUUUAGGGGUGGAACUUAGGCAUUGGUAUUAUUACUUGCCAGGUGAUUCCAUUGCAGUCAGUAUUGUGAACCACUGAGUUAGAGGGUAACUAACUGUAUUCAAACCAGAUAUGAUAAAGUUCUAAAUUAAAGUGCCAGCGGCACAAAGGAACCAGGAUAAGAAGAUAACAAGGAGGAUAUGGUGGUCAGUUGAAUGAGAAAGGAGAUUAAGUGAAGAUUAUUUCUAGAUUGGGUCACUGGGUAGAUGAUAAUAACAUACCAAGGCUCAGUUAUUUAUCAAGAGUGAGAACAUGAAGGCAAAGCAGAUUUGGGUACUAGAUGCUUCUGAGUGGGCAUAAAAAGGAUAAAGAAUUUGAUUUUUAAAUGUGCAAUUUGAGAAAGAAUGAUCUAUAAUGCCAAAUGGACAGAGAGAAACUGAAGGGAAGGAACCAAUGGAAUAGUUGAAAAUUCAGGAGACAAUAAAUAAUUGAUGGGUGAGAUUCCUAAGGAGACAGACAAU